AGUGAACGCUGGCGGUAGGCCUAACACAUGCAAGUCGAACGGCAGCACAGUAAGAGCUUGCUCUUACGGGUGGCGAGUGGCGGACGGGUGAGGAAUACAUCGGAAUCUACUUUUUCGUGGAGGAUAACGUAGGGAAACUUACGCUAAUACCGCAUACGACCUACGGGUGAAGCAGGGGAUCUUCGGACCUUGCGCGAUUGAAUGAGCCGAUGUCGGAUUAGCUAGUUGGCGGGGUAAAGGCCCACCAAGGCGACGAUCCGUAGCUGGUCUGAGAGGAUGAUCAGCCACACUGGAACUGAGACACGGUCCAGACUCCUACGGGAGGCAGCAGUGGGGAAUAUUGGACAAUGGGCGCAAGCCUGAUCCAGCCAUACCGCGUGGGUGAAGAAGGCCUUCGGGUUGUAAAGCCCUUUUGUUGGGAAAGAAAAGCAGCAGGUUAAUACCCCGCUGUUCUGACGGUACCCAAAGAAUAAGCACCGGCUAACUUCGUG
Molecule: ribosomal RNA, 491 nt
Filed under: uncultured bacterium
Lineage: Bacteria
Description: partial 16S ribosomal RNA
Rfam family: Bacterial small subunit ribosomal RNA
Source: RNAcentral